This 47-nucleotide ribosomal RNA is filed under the name Acer albopurpurascens x Acer buergerianum var. formosanum. RNAcentral describes it as "partial 23S ribosomal RNA". Lineage: Eukaryota; Viridiplantae; Streptophyta; Magnoliopsida; Sapindales; Sapindaceae. The record is from RNAcentral.
AGGAGAAGUCGUAACAAGGUUUCCGUAGGUGAACCAGCGGAAGGAUC